CAGUAUAAGUGAGUCAAAGCGAGCCUUAGACUAAACAAAACUAGGUUUCAUCUUUUAGUGUUGGACUUGUCGAAUUUUUGUUGCAAAAUUGAAAGCAUAUUCUACUAAAAAAGUGUUCUUUCUUCUUAAUGGAGCAUGAGGUGUUUUCUAAAGGGAAGAGAGAGGUGUGUCUUAACAAAAAAAGCAAACCAAAAAAAAGGUGGGAUGUUAGAGAGGGGAGGUGUCUUCUGAGCCCUUUGGGUGACAGGC
This 249-nucleotide long non-coding RNA is filed under the name Elaeis guineensis (African oil palm). RNAcentral's name for it is "long non-coding RNA (EGUI_LNC055133)". The record is from RNAcentral. Lineage: Eukaryota; Viridiplantae; Streptophyta; Magnoliopsida; Arecales; Arecaceae.